Molecule: ribosomal RNA, 675 nt
Filed under: Compsobracon sp.
Lineage: Eukaryota; Metazoa; Arthropoda; Insecta; Hymenoptera; Braconidae
Description: partial 28S ribosomal RNA
Rfam family: Eukaryotic large subunit ribosomal RNA
Source: RNAcentral
GAAACCGUUCAGGGGUAAACCUGAGAAACCCAAAAGAUCGAAUGGGGAGAUUCAUCGUCAGCUUAUUUUGUAUAUAUGCAAAUUAUGAUAUGGGUUACUACUUGUAGUAUUGCUUGUACAUUCUUGUAUAUUUAUUUGCAAAAUAUUGUCGGCGUGCACUUCUCCUCUAGUAGAACGUCGUGACCCGUUGAGUUGCUAAUCUACGGCCCAAGUGAGAGCUUUCAAUAAAUAUUUAUUAUUUGUUGAAAAUCCUUGGUGUUAUCUGAAUAGCACUUGUCGGUAUUCGUAUGGUAUUAAGCCGCAUAAUUUAUAUGCGUCCUAAUCAUCACAAGCGAGAUUAAUAGCUAAUAGUUAUGGACCUAGUGCCAUCGUUAAUAUUAAUCAGCUGUUAGUUGUAUGAAAUUCUAGGACUGGCUUAGAUUUUUUAAUUACCGGUCAGCGAUGCUACUGCUUUGGGUACUUUCAGGACCCGUCUUGAAACACGGACCAAGGAGUCUAACAUGUACGCGAGUCAUUGGGACAUUAAUAAAUUAAACCUAAAGGCAUAAUGAAAGUAAAGGUCGACCCUGUGUCGAUUGAGGGAAGAUGGGCUAUGUUAUAAUAUAUAUAGCUCCGCACUCCCGGGGCGUUUCAUUCUCAUUACGAGAAGAGGCGCACCUAGAGCGUACACGUUGG